RNAcentral lists this ribosomal RNA (116 nucleotides) under Pteropus alecto (black flying fox). The record is from RNAcentral. Lineage: Eukaryota; Metazoa; Chordata; Mammalia; Chiroptera; Pteropodidae.
GUCUGUGGCCAUGCCACCCUGAACAAGCCCAAUGUCUGAUCUCGGAAGCUAAGCAGGGCCUGGCCUGGUUAGUACUUGAAUGGGAGACCACCUAGGAAGACCAGGUGCUGUAGACA